Panicum virgatum (switchgrass) is the source of this 1189-nucleotide long non-coding RNA. RefSeq lists it as uncharacterized. The transcript is spliced from 4 exons. The record is from RefSeq and is a predicted model, not a curated record. Lineage: Eukaryota; Viridiplantae; Streptophyta; Magnoliopsida; Poales; Poaceae.
UCAAGGUCCCUUGAUGUUCCUACGGUUAAUUUCGCGGCGCCCAUUGAACAUCAUGGUCGCCGCUCUCGAGGUCUUCCAUUAGCAGGGUCAUGUAGCAGCACAUCCCCAAGUUUGUUAUCCCUCCCAUCACCGCGCACCGCCGUUGCCCGUCGAAUCUCCCACAGGCCGCAGCAGGCACGUCUCCACUGCGCAAAGCUUAGACAUAAUUCCUUUUUUCUUCAAUUUUGCAGAAAGAUUUACUCUAGCUCCUGGGUGGCGGCGCUCAAUCUGAUGAAUCGCGGGGGAACCCCCGCUGGCUCAAGGUUUUCUAUCCAUCCACUUACCUCUCCCACUGGCGUGCACGGCGAGUGUGAUGGCAACGGCCAGUGGCCACUGGUGGCUAAAGCUGCCUUGAUGCAUGUGUUAUGGAAGAUGAAACGUGAGGCAGCGGAGAGCUGGGGAUGCUAACGUUGAUUUGCUCUACACCAUUCCUACAUCGUGGAGAUCAGCAACGAGGGCAGGAACAAGCUUUGUGUACUCGAAAGGGACUUCACUUUCCUGAAUUUCUGAAUACUUCACUGAAUUUGAUUCAGAUUAUGUGUGGCACUGACCGUAAUGCCCCUCUUUUGAAUUCAGGUGAGGUGGUCACGCUCCUCUCACGUGUAUUCAGGAUUAUUGCUAGUGUGAGGACACAAGCAGCUGGUGGUUAAGCUGGUUUGUACCAGCUGAGAGUCUGAGCUCCCAUGGUGUCUCACUCCGUGAAGAUCAUGGAGCUCAUUGCCAGAACCAUUGUCGAGCCGUAGUUCAUCAGCUAGGGGCAGAGGAGGUCAACACAAUAACCUUUUGUGGCGCCUCCUCUGUCUAGUUGCUCAUGGACCUCGCGAGCAUGGCCAUAGGAAUCAGAGAUGUAAUUGGAUGUACUGGUGCUGCUGCAUCUUAAGAUGGAAGUACUCAUGCCUGAUGGAAGAUAAGAGCAAGCAUGCUGUCAAGCCAAGAACAGCACAUCCUCAUCUACAUCCAUUUGAAUUUGAACGUCUGUAGUGUGAUCCUUCCUAAGAAUCCUAACCCUUCUUAUGGUCUGAUUGGAUUAAAAAAAAUCAUAUGUUCAUGCCUGAUGCAAGUGAAGGUCAGCAUAGGCAUGUUGUUUCGUCACUAGUAUGCCAUUCAAUCACUAGCUAGAUUCUUGAUUCAAGAUAUGUAAAUUCUUUUA